CCGGGGCUUCUCCCGUU
This 17-nucleotide transfer RNA is filed under the name Cyrtopodion scabrum. RNAcentral's name for it is "partial tRNA-Cys". The record is from RNAcentral. Lineage: Eukaryota; Metazoa; Chordata; Lepidosauria; Squamata; Gekkonidae. RNAcentral also lists the same sequence under 9 other names.